GGACGGCGCCGAGGAGCAGGCUGCAGGCGGCGGCGAGGCCGGCGAGGCGGGCGGCGCUGGUGGUGGAGGCGAGGGGGAGGGGGUGGUCGGACCGGCGGUCCCAGCAGCAGCGCAUGCCGCAGCUGCCCAAGAUCGAGGACGACGGCAACCCGCGCUUCGUCAUCUUCAUCCGCACCGCCAAUGUGUACUUCUGGUACCCGCUC
Molecule: unclassified non-coding RNA, 203 nt
Filed under: Hevea brasiliensis (rubber tree)
Lineage: Eukaryota; Viridiplantae; Streptophyta; Magnoliopsida; Malpighiales; Euphorbiaceae
Source: RNAcentral